Molecule: ribosomal RNA, 694 nt
Filed under: beta proteobacterium symbiont of Evacanthus interruptus
Lineage: Bacteria; Pseudomonadati; Pseudomonadota; Betaproteobacteria
Description: bacterial SSU rRNA
Rfam family: Bacterial small subunit ribosomal RNA
Source: RNAcentral
AUUAAAACGGGUGAGUAAUAUAUUAAGACAUGCUUUAUAGGGGGGGAUAGCUUGAUGAAAAUUAAAUUAAUACCGCAUGAAAAUAAUCUAAGGAUUAAAGCAGGGGAUUUGUUAUACAAACCUUGCGCUAUAAAAUUGAUUAAUAUCUGAUUAGUUAGUUGGUUGAGGUAAAAGCUCACCAAGACUAUGAUCGGUAACUGGUCUGAGAGGAUGAUCAGUCACACUGGGACUGAGAUACGGCCCAGACUCCUACGGGAGGCAGCAGUGGGGAAUUUUGGACAAUGAGCGCAAGCUUGAUCCAGCAAUGUCGCGUGUGCGAUGAAGGCUUUAAAAGUUGUAAAGCACUUUUUUUUAGGAAUAAAUAAAUUUAACUAAUAAUUAAAUAAAUGACUGUACUAAAAGAAUAAGUACCGGCUAAUUACGUGCCAGCAGCCGCGGUAAUACGUAAGGUGCUAGCGUUAAUCGGAAUUACUGGGCGUAAAGGGUGCGUAGGCUGUUUAAUAAGAUUUUUGUGAAAUCCCUGAGCUUAACUUAGGAACUGCAAAGAUAACUAUUAGACUUGGAGUAUAAUAUAAGGAGGGUAGAAUUUUAUAUGUAGCGGUGAAAUGCAUAGAUAUAUAAAGGAAUACCGAUAGCGAAGGCAGCCCUCUGGGUUAUUACUGACGUUGAUGCACGAAAGCGUGGGUAUCAAACA